This 465-nucleotide ribosomal RNA is filed under the name Vreelandella stevensii. RNAcentral's name for it is "partial 16S ribosomal RNA". It matches the Rfam family "Bacterial small subunit ribosomal RNA", at positions 338 to 795 of the family's 1533-position model. The record is from RNAcentral. Lineage: Bacteria; Pseudomonadati; Pseudomonadota; Gammaproteobacteria; Oceanospirillales; Halomonadaceae.
CCUACGGGAGGCUGCAGUGGGGAAUAUUGGACAAUGGGCGAAAGCCUGAUCCAGCCAUGCCGCGUGUGUGAAGAAGGCCUUCGGGUUGUAAAGCACUUUCAGUGGGGAAGAAAGCCUUGGGGCUAAUACCCUCGAGGAAGGACAUCACCCACAGAAGAAGCACCGGCUAACUCCGUGCCAGCAGCCGCGGUAAUACGGAGGGUGCGAGCGUUAAGCGGAAUUACUGGGCGUAAAGCGCGCGUAGGCGGUCUGAUAAGCCGGUUGUGAAAGCCCCGGGCUCAACCUGGGAACGGCAUCCGGAACUGUCAGGCUAGAGUGCAGGAGAGGAAGGUAGAAUUCCCGGUGUAGCGGUGAAAUGCGUAGAGAUCGGGAGGAAUACCAGUGGCGAAGGCGGCCUUCUGGACUGACACUGACGCUGAGGUGCGAAAGCGUGGGUAGCAAACAGGAUUAGAUACCCGUGUAGUC